ACGAUUUUUGUUGAAUUGGAAUUCCUCCAACCCAUUGGUAAUUCUCCUAGUUAUCAUGGACCUACUUAGAAAAUGGGAACAGGAGGAAGAUUUCAAUUCACAAGGGGAGCUCAAGAAUCUGCUGGGUUUUCAGGAAUAAACCAUAAGCUAGAAACCAAGAGAAGUGAGUUCUAAUCCAUAUUCUGUUGCUAAUGGAUUCACUGUGAAAGCAUGCUCUGUACCAAGGCAAAGCCUACAUUGACCAGAGCCCUUUUGUUCUAGGCUCUUUCUAUCUCCGCUGACAGUCUGGUAUCUGAGGUAACAUUAAAUGUCAUGCAGGGUAUUUUUGUUGUUGUUGUUCAGUCCCAUUUAGGGUUUUCUUGGUAGAGAGACUUAAGUGGAUUGCCAUUUCUUUCUCCAGCUCAUUUUACAGAUGAGGAAACUGAGGCAAACAGAGAUUAAGUGAUUUGCCCAGGGUCACACAGCCAGUAAGUGUCUGAGUCCAGAUUUGAACUCUCGAAGAUGAGUCUUCCUUACUCCAGGCCCAC
This 527-nucleotide long non-coding RNA is filed under the name Phascolarctos cinereus (koala). RNAcentral describes it as "lncRNA (ENSPCIG00000015210.2)". Lineage: Eukaryota; Metazoa; Chordata; Mammalia; Diprotodontia; Phascolarctidae. The record is from RNAcentral.